GGCGUAAAAGCGUGCGCAGGCGGUUCGUUAAGACAGAUGUGAAAUCCCCGGGCUUAACCUGGGAACUGCAUUUGUGACUGGCGAGCUAGAGUAUGGCAGAGGGGGGUAGAAUUCCACGUGUAGCAGUGAAAUGCGUAGAGAUGUGGAGGAAUACCGAUGGCGAAGGCAGCCCCCUGGGCCAAUACUGACGCUCAUGCACGAAAGCGUGGGGAGCAAACAGGAUUAGAUACCCUGGUAGUCCACGCCCUAAACGAUGUCAACUAGUUGUCGGGUCUUCAUUGACUUAGUAACGUAGCUAACGCGUGAAGUUGACCGCCUGGGGAGUACGGUCGCAAGAUUAAAACUCAAAGGAAUUGACGGGGACCCGCACAAGCGGUGGAUGAUGUGGAUUAAUUCGAUGCAACGCGAAAAACCUUACCUACCCUUGACAUGGUCGGAACCCUGCUGAAAGGUGGGGGUGCUCGAAAGAGAACCGAUACACAGGUGCUGCAUGGCUGUCGUCAGCUCGUG
RNAcentral lists this ribosomal RNA (510 nucleotides) under uncultured Burkholderia sp. RNAcentral describes it as "bacterial SSU rRNA". It matches the Rfam family "Bacterial small subunit ribosomal RNA", at positions 557 to 1064 of the family's 1533-position model. Lineage: Bacteria; Pseudomonadati; Pseudomonadota; Betaproteobacteria; Burkholderiales; Burkholderiaceae. The record is from RNAcentral.